RNAcentral lists this long non-coding RNA (7304 nucleotides) under Daucus carota (carrot). Its description in RNAcentral is "long non-coding RNA (DCAR_LNC001080)". Lineage: Eukaryota; Viridiplantae; Streptophyta; Magnoliopsida; Apiales; Apiaceae. The record is from RNAcentral.
AAUUUACAUUGGCUUCUUGAAUUGAAUUAGAGAAUUGGAUUAUUGUUUUUAUAUAAACCUGUGGACCAGAUUCGUGGUCAUGUUAGGCCAAUGAGUGCCUUGGAUCCAGUGAUAGAGCAUGGCGGGGCCUGCUCGGGGUUAGUGCGGAACUGAUCAGCUGCCUAACCUUGGUUUUAAUUAAAAUGUGAUAGUCCAAUUCAAUAAUUCUUUGGAAAGAUUGAAUUUCUCAGUUUAAAUGCUGCAAGGUAUUGUAAAUUAUUCUAUACAAUACCAUGAACUCAUGAACUCAGGUUGAAUCCUUUUAUAUCUUGAACUCGUGAACUUCUAUUAUAUCAUUUCAGAACUAUCAUUGUUUAUUAUUACUUGCUGAGCAUUGUUGCUCACCCUUGCUAUUCCUUUCUAACCAUUUCAGAAAGGCUUAAAGAUGAGAUGAUGGAUUGAGAUUGUGAAUAAGGCUAAUGCUAGGCGAGGAGACAGAGUUGAGGAUCCAGUGGUCGAGGAGUGUUCAGGAAAGUUGAUGAGGUUGGUGCAAGCUGGAAUAGUUGACAGUGAUUCUUCUUAUCGAAGAUGAUCUGAUUUGGUAAGAGAUGUUGUGUAAUAAUAGUGGUAGAUUCUAAUUUCAAUACUGUAACCUGGAAGCGAUCCUGUUGUUUUGGGGGUGAAGAUGUUCUCUUUUAAAUCUUUUAUUUAACGUCUUUCAAAUCUUUUAUUAAAUGUUUUCAAGUUUUAAAUUCUCUGAAUUUCACGUUUUAAAUUCUUUUGGGUUUAAUUAUCUUUAAUAAUAAAAAAAAAAAAUAUACAGGAUUUCAAAAGUGUUUAAAAAUAGGUUUUAUGUGGUGACGUCAGAAUCCAGACCCCCGGAUUCCUGGACUGUCACAGUUGGUAUCAGAGCGACAGGUUACAAGUUAUUGAAAUUUGAAUAUAGAUUAUAGUCUUAAGUUUUCUAGAGAAGAAUGUUGUGUGACCUCAUAUAGAGGUAUUGUGAGACUAUGUAGAAAUAGUAUAGAGAUGUGAUAGAGGUGUAGAAUCUGGUUGGACGAUCAAGUUGAGUGUAGAAGUUUAGAGAGAUUUUGAUUCUUAAGUUUAGACAUAGGAUUUCUAGUUUGUUGACAAAUUGAGAUGAUGAAUUGUGUGAAAGGUCAAGAUUAGACCUAGAUAGAAGAGUUUGAUAGUAAAUGAUUGAGUUGAGAAUGGUGAAAAUGCAGAGUUCAGAGUAUUCUGACUAUACUGCAUAGCUGAAAAUGGUCCAGUGUAUUGAUUUGAGAAUGAUAAAGAUGCAUGGUUCAUAGUAUGUUGACCAUGUCAGAUAUUUGGAAGAUGUAUAUGAUUUUAGUGAUAUAUGAAGAGUUAGUGUAGAAUAUGAGUUGUGUUGAAUCAGAAGGAGAGAUUUGUAGAUAGAGGUUGAUAGAUGAGAAGUGCAUGAUAGAGAGUAAGUGAAGUUGAUUCAGGUUAUUAGAAGCGAUAUUUGCGAGUAAUUUAGAAUGUUAAUUCUCACGACGACGUUUUAAGUUAAGCGGGACAAGGUGGGCCCAUAACCCACAGGGCGACAAUUCAGAAAAUCGAAGAUAUGCUACGUGUUGUGCUAUGGACUUCAAAGGCAACUGGAUGAAGCAUGAGAACGUGAACUACUUGGGCCAGACUUAUUACGAACGAUAACGUCUAUGAUGACAUUUUACGAAGCUAUUGCGAGUCAAAUCGAUUGAUUAUCAAGAACGUUGAAAAGAAAACAUAUAUCGAACAAUGAUUUAUUGAAGUAGAGUCGGAAUCUGAGAAGACCUUGGCAAUACCUCUUUUCAACUAAAGAUUCUUUUGAUUGUUUUCUCAUCAGUGAGAUAUUAUCAUGAUAUCUUUUCUACAAAAGUUUUGAUAAAUGAGAUCUUUAAUUUCUCAAAUUCUAAGAUGACAUUGAUAUUGAUUAUUGGUAUGAGUUGGAAAGCAAAGAUGUGUGGUGAAGGUUGUUGUGAAGAGAUAGUGAUGUUCCUUGAUAUUGUUUGAUAUUUCUUGACAUUCCUUGAUAUUCUUUCAUCAUCCUUGAUAUCCCUUGAUGUUCUUUGAUAUUCUCGAGAUUCUUUGAUAUUCUUUGAUAUUCCUUAACAUUUCUUCAAUUUGAUUGGGAUGAACAACCCUAUUUAUAGGGGACACAAGGUAUACCUGUCUGUGUGAUAGGAGUUGGAUGGGACGCCAUCACUUGUGUGUGUUGUGAUUACAAGAAGGUUAACAACCUUUAGUAGUGUCUAAUGUGGACACGCAACACCAAGUUCGUUGAUCAUGUAGAUCUCUCAGUCACUCCUUUAUUCAAAGGUGAUCUACCUUGAAAAUAUCUUGUUCCUCUGAAAUUUCCAAAGAUUGAUUCUUGGGAAAUGAAUUUUGCAAUUGUGAAAGUUGAUUCUCCAAUUUCUUUAAAGCUAAAGGUAUGCCAAGGCCGAUCAAGGGUGAAUGAUGAUACGUUAUUACGAAGCGUAUAGUGAAAUCUUAUAAAUGAUACGUUUUAGUUUUCUUCGCGGAUUCUGAGGACAGAAUCCUUAUAAGGGGGGUAGAAUGUAAUAUCCCAUGUUUUUAAAAUUAGUUGAUGAUUAUUAUAGAUCUAAUAUGUUGAUAUUAUUGUUGGCUUUAAUGGAAUAGUGAUAUGAUUAUGUGAAUAGUGUGAAUGUGAUUAUAUUUGUUAUUUGGAUUAAUAUGGAUUUUACAGAUUUUGCGUCCUCCUUCUUUUUCUGAUUCCGAGGACGGAAUCCCUAUAAGGAGGGUAGAUUGUAAUAACCCGGAUUUUAAAAAUAUUUUUAUUAAUAUUAUAAAUGAUUUUCUUAAAAAGAAAGGAAUAAGAUUUAAUAUUUUAUUCCAGUUUAAGGAGUUUUCAAAAUUUUAUAUUAAACCCCGGGUUAUUGUGUUAUUGAUAAAUGAUUAUAUUUUUAAAACUGAUUUUCAUAUAUUGUUUCGAAAAUUCUAGAUGAUUAUUAUGUGAAUAUAUGUGUGAUGUGAGUAAGUGGUAUUGGUGGAUUUGUUGGUUAAUUAAUUAUGGUUAAUUAUGAGUAUUAUAUGAUUAAUAUAUGAAUUUUUGUGAAUUUUAUAUUAUCUGGUUUAUUGCGUUAACUGCUCAUAUGUGUUCGUAUUUGAGAGAUUUCAAUUUCUAUAUGCUCAGGAGAAAAUAUAGUUUAUUUGGAUAUUUUCAUAUCGAUUUAUGGAAUGUUAGAUGAUUUUAUAAUCGAUUUACGGAUUUAAUUGCGUAUAUUUAUAUUUAUUUAUUAAUUAUUUGACUUCCGUAAAACCGUCCACUCGUAACGAGGUAGCAAAUUUUCUUCCCGGAAGUUUCAACAAAACUCACCUUUAGCCUAAUUUGAAUAUUCCGGACAUUUUUCGUGUUUUGACUUUUUCGAUCCGGAGUACGGUUUUCCCCGGAGUCGGUCCGGCGGAGUUUUUCGGGUAUUUUAAUUGUUGAUAAUUAUCCAGUUUGUCUCGAUAAGCGUGAAACGAGAUAUUUUGAUUAUUAUAUUCAUCCUUAUCUUGUAAUAAUUGCAAUGGGACCCGCAGACCAAUAAUUGAGUUAAAAAGCCCCGUUUUGAUGAUUAUCUCGAAAACCGGUACCGAUUGGACCCCGCUUUAUUAAUAUAAAGCUAUUAAAUACGUAUUUUCAUGUCAUAAACGAUCCAAAGGGGUACCAAUUAUUUGUAAAUAUAAAUAGACUUUCCUGUAACUUAUUUUCACCGUAGAAAUCAUUUCAACAGUUUCUCUGCACGAAUAUCGAGAGAAACCGAGCGGUGUUCUUCGUGUUCUUCAUAAUCAAACGAAGAUUUGAAGGUGUUAUUGGAAUCCGAUGGAGGCGUAUAAAUAGUCAAAACGAAGCUAUCGACGCGUAGAAUCAAGUUUAAUCAUCCGUUUAUAUGCAGAUUCAACAGGUGAUUUUAGAUUAUUUUUCUAAAAUUCGAGUUUAUAUGAUUUAAAUGAUGAAUUUUUGCAAACGAUUCCGUUUAUGUGAUUUGAUGAUUCUAUGAUGUAGAGCAUGUUUUUCUCGUCGUUUUGGUAUAUUAUAUGUCAAAAACGGAGUUCAAUAACAUGUAGAAAAGUCAGUUUGAUUAUUGAAAUUGUGUUCUUGGUGUUCUUGAGCUUGUUGCCGGAAAAGUUUGAAUUUUGGCCGGAAAAUGGGUUCCGCUAAAUCUGGGCAGUAGUGGUAUAUAUGAAUAGAAAGAGGAGAGAAAGGGGAGUAUGCUGGUGUGCUUGGUUUGAGCGGAGGUGGCUCGAAUCGCCGCCAUCGGCGGCGGGAAGUCGCCGACUUCGGCCGGAUUUUCCGGCGAAUUCGCGCGACUUCUGCCUAAUUAAAGAUGGGGGAUUGAUUUAUGGGUGUGUGUACUACUGAUCUGGAGUAGAUGGUGAGUGGAGGACGCCUGGAAACGAAUUUCCGGCGAGUUAGUGUGGUGGCCGGCGGCUUAUUGCUGUUUGGUCACCGAAGUUUUGAAGAUGAUGAAGUUUUUGUACUCAGGUUUUGAAACUUAUGAAUUACCCCCUGUAACUUUGAAAAGUUACACUUUAAACCCUGGACAAAACUUUCAAAAGUUUACAAAAUAAACCUUUUGAUUUAAUUUUCUAAAAUUGUUUUAUUUAAUUAUUUUAAAUUCCAAAAAUAGUUUUUAAUUAUUUCUUUAUUCAAAAAUAAAUCUAAAUUAGUUUAUUAAUUAAUUUUAAUUAGUAAUUAAUUAUUUUAAUUGGUCAAUUAAUUUAAAUAUUAAUUGAUUAAUUAUUUUAAUUAAUUAUUAAUUGAUUUUAAUUGAUUAAUUAAUUGGAUUUAAUUAAUCCUUUUUGAUUUAAAAAUUCCGAAAAAUAGUUUCGAGCUUUAAAAUAUUUUUCCAAAUUAUUUUCAAGGCUCGAUAAUUGUUUAUGAAUGAUUUCAAGUCCAAUUUCAAGUAUUUGGGACUUGAUUAUUUAUUCGAAAAGUGAUUCUUUUAUCGAUUUUAAUUCCGAAAAAUGUUUAAAAAUUCUGGAAAAUUCCCGAAAAAUCAUUUUUAACCCAAGACUUGAUUUAAUAUCAAUUGGGAUGGGAAACCUUAUGUGUUGUGUGUUGUCUGCUAUUGGUUGGAUGUGUUAUGUGCCGAUAGGAGAGUGAGAAAACUGUUUUGAGCAUAACUUUUGAUCCGUAAGUCGGAAUCAAGUGAAACGAAAGAGAGACAGAAGCUUAUAACGUCUAUUUUAAUAUGAUGUGACUAUAUGGCUGAGUCUAUAAGGUGAAUAAUUGUUGAUAAGUAUGCAUAAUGUGAUAAUAUGUGAUCUAAGUGCUAUCAGGUGAUGAUUAUGUGAAGUACGUGUUAGUUUUGAUAUUGUGAAGUGAUAAAUGAUUCGUAUGAUUGAUAUUGGAUAAGAAUAUAUGGAUUAUAGCUAUUGGAUUUUGUUGGUUGAUUAAUGAUUGAGAUAGGAUAAUAGGUGGAUAGUCUUAUACAUAGACGAGACGAUGUCGGAUUUUCGAUAAGGAUUUAUAUGAUAAUUGAUUGGUGAUAUGUUAUGUGGAAUAUGAUUGACUAUAUGUUAGAGUUAAAGCAUGCUUAUGUGUUACGUGGUAUCUGAUAAGUUUAAAGGGAUAUAUAAGUGGGUAUUGAUAUACGUGAGAUGUAUAUGCGAUCGAUUGUUUAGUGAUUAUAGUGUUAUCUUAUUCUCGUAAAGGAUUUGGACGAGACGUGUAUGCCCGAAGACGUUCAGAAAGUCACGUGGUGUUACAAAGCGAAUAAGGGAUGAAUCGAGUAAGCGAAGCGAAGAUGUACGGUAGAUAGAGUAUAGCCAGAGAUGGUCUAGAGACUAUGAGAUGCAUAGAUUGUGAAAGUGGAAAGAUGAGAUUGAGAUGUGAGACUGGAGUCAGAUUUAAGGCAAGUAUCCUAAACCUUUCUCUUGGAUAUAUUGCAAAUAUUCUGAUCCAUUCCUUUGGUAUAUGUUUCAAGUAUUCAUACCUUUCUUUUCAAUGUUCGAAAGUGCGAGUAUUCUGACCCAUUCUUUCUAAUCUUCAAGUUUCUAAAGAAUUUCCGUUUUACAAAUUAAUUCGAAGUUCAGAUUGUCAUUGAAGCAUGUGUUGCUCAGUGAUAGUUAGAGCUUUGAAUGAAUUGGGAUCUUCUUGAUUAUUCAACCCGCCAUUGUCAUGCUGGUUUAGCAGGCUAAAUUCAGUUGCUUAGCCGAUAAUGGAGGAUACUGAAUAGUUGAGGAUUUCCUGAACUGUGAUUUAUGAAAUGAUGGAUCAUGAUUUAUGAAUAGAUUAUUAUCAAAGUUUGAAUUGGAAUUAUUCUGUUGUUGAUGAUAUUUAUGAUGAUGUUCUGUUAAUUUACAUUGGCUUCUUGAAUUGAAUUAGAGAAUUGGAUUAUUGUUUUUAUAUAAACCUGUGGACCAGAUUCGUGGUCAUGUUAGGCCAAUGAGUGCCUUGGAUCCAGUGAUAGAGCAUGGCGGGGCCUGCUCGGGGUUAGUGCGGAACUGAUCAGCUGCCUAACCUUGGUUUUAAUUAAAAUGUGAUAGUCCAAUUCAAUAAUUCUUUGGAAAGAUUGAAUUUCUCAGUUUAAAUGCUGCAAGGUAUUGUAAAUUAUUCUAUACAAUACCAUGAACUCAUGAACUCAGGUUGAAUCCUUUUAUAUCUUGAACUCGUGAACUUCUAUUAUAUCAUUUCAGAACUAUCAUUGUUUAUUAUUACUUGCUGAGCAUUGUUGCUCACCCUUGCUAUUCCUUUCUAACCAUUUCAGAAAGGCUUAAAGAUGAGAUGAUUGAUUGAGAUUGUGAGUAAGGCUAAUGCUAGGCGAGGAGACAGAGUUGAGGAUCCAGUGGUCGAGAAGUGUGCAAAAGGUUGAUGAGGUUGAUGCAAGCUAGAGCUGUGCUAUAGGGAUUCAAGUGUAAGUCAUAGCUGGAAUAGUUGACAGUGAUUCUUCUUAUCGAAGAUGAUCUGAUUUGGUAAGAGAUGUUGUGUAAUAAUAGUGGUAGAUUCUAAUUUCAAUACUGUAACCUGGAAGCGAUCCUGUUGUUUUGGGGGUGAAGAUGUUCUCUUUUAAAUCUUUUAUUUAACGUCUUUCAAAUCUUUUAUUAAAUGUUUUCAAGUUUUAAAUUCUCUGAAUUUCACGUUUUAAAUUCUUUUGGGUUUAAUUAUCUUUAAUAAUAAAAAAAAAAAAAAUAUACAGGAUUUCAAAAGUGUUUAAAAAUGGGUUUUAUGUGGUGACGUCAGAAUCCAGACCCCCGGAUUCCUGGACUGUCACACUGAAGGCUAAGGCGGCCAAAUUUUUUGUCGAAGGAGAAACACUCUUCCGCCGGACCUACUCAUCCCCAAUCCUGAAAUGCAUAGGUCCGGAGGAGGCCGA